This 428-nucleotide ribosomal RNA is filed under the name uncultured prokaryote. RNAcentral's name for it is "bacterial SSU rRNA". It matches the Rfam family "Bacterial small subunit ribosomal RNA", at positions 355 to 774 of the family's 1533-position model. The record is from RNAcentral.
UGGGGAAUAUUGGACAAUGGGGGGAACCCUGAUCCAGCCAUGCCGCGUGUGUGAAGAAGGCCUUAUGGUUGUAAAGCACUUUAAGCGAGGAGGAGGCUACUUUAGUUAAUACCUAGAGAUAGUGGACGUUACUCGCAGAAUAAGCACCGGCUAACUCUGUGCCAGCAGCCGCGGUAAUACAGAGGGUGCGAGCGUUAAUCGGAUUUACUGGGCGUAAAGCGUGCGUAGGCGGCUUUUUAAGUCGGAUGUGAAAUCCCCGAGCGUAACUUGGGAAUUGCAUUCGAUACUGGGAAGCUAGAGUAGGGGAGAGGAUGGUAGAAUUCCAGGUGUAGCGGUGAAAGGCGUAGAGAUCUGGAGGAAUACCGAUGGCGAAGGCAGCCAUCUGGCCUAAUACUGACGCUGAGGUACGAAAGCAUGGGGAGCAAACA